This 491-nucleotide ribosomal RNA is filed under the name uncultured bacterium. Its description in RNAcentral is "partial 16S ribosomal RNA". It matches the Rfam family "Bacterial small subunit ribosomal RNA", at positions 29 to 507 of the family's 1533-position model. The record is from RNAcentral.
AGUGAACGCUGGCGGUAGGCCUAACACAUGCAAGUCGAACGGCAGCACAGUAAGAGCUUGCUCUUACGGGUGGCGAGUGGCGGACGGGUGAGGAAUACAUCGGAAUCUACUUUUUCGUGGGGGAUAACGUAGGGAAACUUACGCUAAUACCGCAUACGACCUACGGGUGAAAGCAGGGGAUCUUCGGACCUUGCGCGAUUGAAUGAGCCGAUGUCGGAUUAGCUAGUUGGCGGGGUAAGGGCCCACCAAGGCGACGAUCCGUAGCUGGUCUGAGAGGAUGAUCAGCCACACUGGAACUGAGACACGGUCCAGACUCCUACGGGAGGCAGCAGUGGGGAAUAUUGGACAAUGGGCGCAAGCUGAUCCAGCCAUACCGCGUGGGUGAAGAAGGCCUUCGGGUUGUAAAGCCCUUUUGUUGGGAAAGAAAAGCAGCAGGUUAAUACCCCGCUGUUCUGACGGUACCCAAAGAAUAAGCACCGGCUAACUUCGUG